AAACCAGCACCUCAAGUGGUCAGGAUGAUUAUUGGGCCUAAAGCAUCCGUAGCCUGCUCUGUAAGUUUUCGGUUAAAUCUGUACGCUCAACGUACAGGCUGCUGGGAAUACUGCAGAGCUAGGGAGUGGGAGAGGUAGACGGUACUCGGGAGGAAGUGGUAAAAUGCUUUGAUCUCUCGAUGACCACCUGUGGCGAAGGCGGUCUACCAGAACACGUCCGACGGUGAGGGAUGAAAGCUGGGGGAGCAAACCGGAUUAGAAACCCGGGUAGUCC
RNAcentral lists this ribosomal RNA (274 nucleotides) under uncultured bacterium. RNAcentral's name for it is "partial 16S ribosomal RNA". It matches the Rfam family "Archaeal small subunit ribosomal RNA", at positions 473 to 747 of the family's 1478-position model. The record is from RNAcentral.